GGAUUAGAUACCCUGGUAGUCCACGCCCUAAACGAUGUACACUAGUUGUUGUGAGGCUAGACCUUGCAGUAAUGCAGUUAACACAUUAAGUGUACCGCCUGGGGAGUACGGUCGCAAGAUUAAAACUCAAAGGAAUAGACGGGGACCCGCACAAGCGGUGGAGCAUGUGGUUUAAUUCGACAUACGCGAAGAACCUUACCUGGACUUGACAUAGUAAGAAUAUUUUAGAGAUAGAAUAGUGUCUGCUUGCAGAAACUUGCAUACAGGUGCUGCACGGCUGUCGUCAGCUCGUGCCG
RNAcentral lists this ribosomal RNA (296 nucleotides) under uncultured bacterium. RNAcentral describes it as "partial 16S ribosomal RNA". It matches the Rfam family "Bacterial small subunit ribosomal RNA", at positions 775 to 1067 of the family's 1533-position model. The record is from RNAcentral.